RNAcentral lists this ribosomal RNA (402 nucleotides) under uncultured bacterium. RNAcentral describes it as "bacterial SSU rRNA". It matches the Rfam family "Bacterial small subunit ribosomal RNA", at positions 355 to 774 of the family's 1533-position model. The record is from RNAcentral.
UGGGGAAUCUUGGACAAUGGGCGCAAGCCUGAUCCAGCCAUGCCGCGUGAGUGAAGAAGGCCUUAGGGUUGUAAAGCUCUUUUGGCAGGGACGAUAAUGACGGUACCUGCAGAAUAAGCCCCGGCAAACUUCGUGCCAGCAGCCGCGGUAAUACGAAGGGGGCUAGCGUUGUUCGGAUUUACUGGGCGUAAAGCGCAAGUAGGCGGAUUGUUAAGUCAGGGGUGAAAUCCCGGAGCUCAACUCCGGAACUGCCUUUGAUACUGGCAAUCUUGAGGCUGGAAGAGGUUGGUAGAAUUCCCAGUGUAGAGGUGAAAUUCGUAGAUAUUGGGAAGAAUACCAGUGGCGAAGGCGGCCAACUGGUCCAGAUCUGACGCUGAGGUGCGAAAGCGUGGGGAGCAAACA